This 209-nucleotide unclassified non-coding RNA is filed under the name Mycobacterium simiae. RNAcentral's name for it is "partial may contain 16S ribosomal RNA, 16S-23S ribosomal RNA intergenic spacer, and 23S ribosomal RNA". The record is from RNAcentral. Lineage: Bacteria; Bacillati; Actinomycetota; Actinomycetes; Mycobacteriales; Mycobacteriaceae.
AAGGAGCACCACGAGAAACACUCCAAUUGGUGGGGUGUGAGCCGUGAGGGGUUCUCGUCUGUAGUGGACGAGGGCCGGGUGCACAACAACAGGCAAUCGCCAGACACACUAUUGGGCCCUGAGACAACACUCGGCCGACUUCGGUUGAAGUGGUGUCCCUCCAUCUUGGUGGUGGGGUGUGGUGUUUGAGUAUUGGAUAGUGGUUGCGA